Molecule: ribosomal RNA, 530 nt
Filed under: uncultured eukaryote
Lineage: Eukaryota
Description: SSU rRNA
Rfam family: Eukaryotic small subunit ribosomal RNA
Source: RNAcentral
UAGUCAUAUGCUUGUCUCAAAGAUUAAGCCAUGCAUGUCUAAGCACAAGCCGAUUAAUGGUGAAGCCGCGAAUGGCUCAUUACAACAGCCAUAGUUUCUUAGAUCUUACUUUUCUACUUGGAUAACUGUGGUAAUUCUAGAGCUAAUACACGCAAACAAGCUCAGACCUUACGGAAUGAGCGCAUUUAUUAGAACAAAAACCAAUCGGGCUUCGGUCCGUCAUUUGGUGAAUCUGAAUAACUUUGCUGAUCGCACGGUCUUCGUACCGGCGACAUAUCUUUCAAAUGUCUGCCUUAUCAACUUUCGAUGGUAGUUUAUGCGCCUACCAUGGUUGUAACGGGUAACGGAGACUAAGGGUUCGACUCCGGAGAGGGAGCCUGAGAAACGGCUACCACAUCCAAGGAAGGCAGCAGGCACGCAAAUUACCCACUCCCGGCACGGGGAGGUAGUGACGAAAAAUAACGAGACGGCUCGCUAUGCGGUCCGUCAUCGGAAUGGGUACAAUUUAAAUCCUUUAACGAGGAUCUAUU